UACGUAGGUGGCAAACGUUGUCCGGAUUUAUUGGGCGUAAAGGGAGCGCAGGCGGUUUAUUAAGUCUGAUGUGAAAGCCUUCGGCUUAACCGGAGAAGUGCAUCGGAAACUGAUAAACUUGAGUGCAGAAAAGGAUAGUGGAACUUCAUGUGUAGCGGUGAAAUGCGUAGAUAUAUGAAGGAACACCAGUGGCGAAGGCGGCUAUCUGGUCUGUAACUGACGCUGAGGCUCGAAAGCAUGGGUAGCAAACAGG
This 253-nucleotide ribosomal RNA is filed under the name uncultured bacterium. Its description in RNAcentral is "partial 16S ribosomal RNA". It matches the Rfam family "Bacterial small subunit ribosomal RNA", at positions 524 to 776 of the family's 1533-position model. The record is from RNAcentral.